UACGUAGGUGGCAAGCGUUGUCCGGAUUUACUGGGCGUAAAGAGCGCGCAGGCGGUCGUUCAAGUCGCGUGUGAAAGCCCCCGGCUCAACUGGGGAGGGUCACGCGAUACUGAUCGACUCGAAGGCAGGAGAGGGAAGUGGAAUUCCCGGUGUAGUGGUGAAAUGCGUAGAUAUCGGGAGGAACACCAGUGGCGAAGGCGACUUCCUGGCCUGUUCUUGACGCUGAGGCGCGAAAGCUAGGGGAGCGAACAGG
RNAcentral lists this ribosomal RNA (253 nucleotides) under uncultured bacterium. RNAcentral describes it as "partial 16S ribosomal RNA". It matches the Rfam family "Bacterial small subunit ribosomal RNA", at positions 524 to 776 of the family's 1533-position model. The record is from RNAcentral.